CAGUUGAUUAAUAGUAAUGGUCAGUCUUUUGAAGAUCAAUUGACAAUCGACUUUCCAAUUGCUGAAACAA
RNAcentral lists this small nucleolar RNA (70 nucleotides) under Tetranychus urticae (two-spotted spider mite). Its description in RNAcentral is "snoRNA tetur19g03364". The record is from RNAcentral. Lineage: Eukaryota; Metazoa; Arthropoda; Arachnida; Trombidiformes; Tetranychidae.